GAUGAACGCUGACAGAAUGCUUAACACAUGCAAGUCAACUGUGGCGGACGGGUGAGUAACGCGUAAAGAACUUACCUCACAGCUAGGGACAACAUUUGGAAACGAAUGCUAAUACCUGAUACUGUGAGAGAGCUUUGCGUCCCAUUAGCUAGUUGGAGAGGUAACGGCUCACCAAGGCGAUGAUGGGUAGCCGGCCUGAGAGGGUGAACGGCCACAAGGGGACUGAGACACGGCCCUUACUCCUACGGGAGGCAGCAGUGGGGAAUAUUGAACAAUGGACCGAAGUCUGAUCCAGCAAUUCUGUGUGCACGAUGAAGUUUUCGGGAUGUAAAGUGCUUUCAGUUGGGAAGCGGUACCAACAGAAGAAGUGACGGCUAAAUACGUGCCAGCAGCCGCGGUAAUUC
This 404-nucleotide ribosomal RNA is filed under the name uncultured bacterium. RNAcentral describes it as "partial 16S ribosomal RNA". It matches the Rfam family "Bacterial small subunit ribosomal RNA", at positions 28 to 526 of the family's 1533-position model. The record is from RNAcentral.